Molecule: long non-coding RNA, 215 nt
Organism: Osmerus eperlanus (European smelt)
Lineage: Eukaryota; Metazoa; Chordata; Actinopteri; Osmeriformes; Osmeridae
Exons: 2
Source: RefSeq, a predicted model, not a curated record
GUGUGUGUGUGUGUGUGUGUGCGAGUGUGUGUGCGAGUGUGUGUGCGAGUGUGUGUGCGUGUAUGGGUAGAGGGAGUCAGGUGGCUGAGCGGUUAGGGAAUCGGGCUAGUAAUCAGAAGGUUGCUGGUUAGAUUCCCCAGCCGUGACAAAUGAUGGUGUGUCCUUGGGCAAGGCACUUCACCCUACUUGCCUCGGGGGAAUGUCCCUGUACUUAC